GUAGUCCACGCUGUAAACGAUGGGUACUAGGUUUGGAGGGAUUUGACCCCCGCCGAGCCGUCGCUAACGCAUUAAGUACCCCGCCUGGGAAGUACGGUCGCAAGAUUAAAACUCAAAGGAAUUGACGGGGGCCCGCACAAGCGGUGGAUCAUGUGGUUCAAUUCGAAGCAACGCGAAAAACCUUACCUAGGUUUGACAUCCCUGGACAGCCGUAGAAAUACGGUCUUGGUAGCAAUACCACCGGGUGACAGGUGCUGCAUGGCUGUCGUCAGCUCGUGGGGUGACCUGUUGGGUUAAGUCCCGCAACGAGCGCAACCCUCGUUCCAUGUUGCCAGCGCGUAAUGGCGGGGACUCAUGGGAGACUGCCGGGGUCAACUCGGAGGAAGGUGGGGACGACGUCAAAUCAUCAUGCCCCUUACGUCUUGGGCUUCACGCAUGCUACAAUGGCCGGUACAAAGGGUUGCGAUACUGUGAGGUGGAGCUAAUCCCAAAAAGCCGGUCUCAGUUCGGAUUGGGGUCUGCAACUCGACCCCAUGAAGUCGGAGUCGCUAGUAAUCGCAGAUCAGCAACGCUGCGGUGAAUA
This 583-nucleotide ribosomal RNA is filed under the name uncultured Arthrobacter sp. RNAcentral's name for it is "bacterial SSU rRNA". It matches the Rfam family "Bacterial small subunit ribosomal RNA", at positions 790 to 1368 of the family's 1533-position model. The record is from RNAcentral. Lineage: Bacteria; Bacillati; Actinomycetota; Actinomycetes; Micrococcales; Micrococcaceae.